UACGUAGGGGGCAAGCGUUGUCCGGAAUCAUUGGGCGUAAAGAGCGUGUAGGCGGCUCGUUAAGUCUGCUGUGAAAGUCCAGGGCUCAACCCUGGAAGGCCGGUGGAAACUGUCGGGCUAGAGUCCGGAAGAGGCGAGUGGAAUUCCCGGUGUAGCGGUGAAAUGCACAGAUAUCGGGAGGAACACCAAUGGCGAAGGCAGCUCGCUGGGACGGUACUGACGCUGAGACGCGAAAGCGUGGGGAGCAAACAGG
Molecule: ribosomal RNA, 253 nt
Filed under: uncultured bacterium
Lineage: Bacteria
Description: partial 16S ribosomal RNA
Rfam family: Bacterial small subunit ribosomal RNA
Source: RNAcentral